GAGUUUGAUCAUGGCUCAGAACGUACGCUGGCGGCACGCCUAACACAUGCAAGUCGAACGAAGUAGCAAUACUUAGUGGCAGACGGGUGAGUAACAUGUAGGUAUCUGCCCUUUGGCCUGGAAUAACACGAGGAAACUUGUGCUAAUACCGGAUAAGUCUUUACGGAGAAAGCUUUAUGCACCAUUGGAUGAGCCUGCACUUGAUUAGUUUGUUGGUGGGGUAAUGGCCUACCAAGACUGUGAUCAAUAGCUGAUUUGAGAGGAUGAUCAGCCACAUUGGGACUGAGACACGGCCCAAACUCCUACGGGAGGCAGCAGUGGGGAAUCUUGCACAAUGGAGGAAACUCUGAUGCAGCGAUGCCGCGUGAGUGAAGAAGGCCCUUGGGUUGUAAAGCUCUUUCGUCGGGGAAGAAAAUGACUGUACCCGAAUAAGAAGGUCCGGCUAACUUCGUGCCAGCAGCCGCGGUAAUACGAAGGGACCUAGCGUAGUUCGGAAUUACUGGGCUUAAAGAGUUCGUAGGUGGUUGAAAAAGUUAGUGGUGAAAUCCCAGAGCUUAACUCUGGAACUGCCAUUAAAACUUUUCAGCUAGAGUAUGAUAGAGGAAAGCAGAAUUUCUAGUGUAGAGGUGAAAUUCGUAGAUAUUAGAAAGAAUACCAAUUGCGAAGGCAGCUUUCUGGAUCAUUACUGACACUGAGGAACGAAAGCAUGGGUAGCGAAGAGGAUUAGAUACCCUCGUAGUCCAUGCCGUAAACGAUGUGUGUUAGACGUUGGAAAUUUAUUUUCAGUGUCGCAGGGAAACCGAUAAACACACCGCCUGGGGAGUACGACCGCAAGGUUAAAACUCAAAUGAAUUGACGGGGACCCGCACAAGUAGUGGAGCAUGUGGUUUAAUUCGAAGAUACGCGCAGAACCUUACCAACACUUGACAUGUUCGUCGCGACUCUAAGAGAUUAGAGUUUUCGGUUCGGCCGGACGAAACACAGGUGCUGCAUGGCUGUCGUCAGCUCGUGUCGUGAGAUGUUGGGUUAAGUCCCGCAACGAGCGCAACCCUCACUUUUAGUUGCCAUCAUUAAGUUGGGCACUCUGAAAGAACUGCCAGUGAUAAGCUGGAGGAAGGUGGGGAUGACGUCAAGUCCUCAUGGCCCUUACGUGUUGGGCUACACACGUGCUACAAUGGUAUCUACAACAGGAAGCAAGACUGCGAAGUUAAGCAAAUCCCUAAAAGAUACCUCAGUUCGGAUUGCACUCUGCAACUCGAGUGCAUGAAGCUGGAAUUACUAGUAAUCGUGGAUCAGCGUGCCACGGUGAAUGCGUUCCCGGGUCUUGUACACACCGCCCGUCACACCAUGGGAGUUGGUUCUACCUUAAGGCAAGGUUUUAAACCCUUGACCACGGUAUAGUCAGCGACUGGGGUGAAGUCGUAACAAGGUAACC
RNAcentral lists this ribosomal RNA (1435 nucleotides) under uncultured marine bacterium. RNAcentral's name for it is "bacterial SSU rRNA". It matches the Rfam family "Bacterial small subunit ribosomal RNA". The record is from RNAcentral.